GCGAAUUGUAUUUUGUAAUUUUAUUUUGCAGAAUUUUUAAAAGCUGUGCAUCACUAUUAACAAAUAUGGCUUAUAAAUAAUUCUUUGAUAUAUAAAUGUUUAGUGAUGUGCAAAUACUUUCUAUCGGAGCACUCAAUAUAUAGAUGUAAGAGCUUAAAAGUGAAGAAUCUAAAUAAGAGUGUGCUCGAAUGCUACUACUAAAGUUCAGUGAAUAAUCGACCCCAAUAGUGAAUAAAAAAUUUAAUUGCAAAUAAUCUUAUUUAACGAACUUGCGAGCAAACGCAUUAAUAUUAAUGGUGUCGGAUUACAUAUUGAGAUUGUAAAAAGGUAGUCUGUUAACCGGACUCAAAGCACAGCAUUUUAUGGUAAUUCUCAUUAGAUCAAACGUUCAUUAAUUGAAAUGCAAUCUUAGUAAUGGAGAAUAUUCAUUAACAUGGGUAGAUGAAGUCAAAGCUUUUUAAACGAAGAAAAACCAUGAAUAAAUGAAUCAGCCAAAACAAAUAUAUGAAGAAUGUGAAUUGUGGGAAAAGAAGCAUACUGUAGCAAGCAAAAAAAAAAAAAAAAACGAACAUCAAACAAGACUUGUAUGAACGUAACCUUUGCAACCAAAAGCUUUGUAGUGUUCAACAAAUAAUAUCCGUUCGCCAUCAAUUCCCUACCAAAUUCAAAGCAUACUUUUAGGGUAAAAUGGUAAGAUAGAGUGCUAUUGCCAU
Long non-coding RNA from Ceratitis capitata (Mediterranean fruit fly), 713 nucleotides. RefSeq lists it as uncharacterized. Lineage: Eukaryota; Metazoa; Arthropoda; Insecta; Diptera; Tephritidae. The transcript is spliced from 3 exons. The record is from RefSeq and is a predicted model, not a curated record.